AAGGCCUCCCAGGAAGGGAUCAGCUAUAAAAAGGACCCCAGAGAACUUUGCCUUGAAGAAGAGCAGUGCCUGUCCCAGGGUAGAGAGGUGACAAAAGGCCAUGGCCCAUCCCUGCCCAGAGAAAGCAUCAAAGGGGCCUCUGCCAAGCCAGCACCCAAAGACCCAAGGGGACACGUUAUUUCUGAUCACUCUCGACUCCUCAGGCAGGCCUGACUGCCCACAACAGCAGGAACAGAAGGGCCCGGUGCCAGCAUAGACAGGCUCUGCUGUGAGACACAGGUGCUCCCAGGAUCCUCCUACAGUGCCACCUCUGGAAAUCCCUGUUCUCUGAUCAAACAGAGACCACUGAGGGGGUGAAAAGGAGACAGACAGAGAGCUGCUGCUUUUUACAAUAAACUCUGUAUUGUGCACAUGAAGACCUGGAGAUGUGCCGACUUCCUGUCCCCAAAGCCAAUCUUCCCCGCCAAGGCGACUGAGGAUUUCAAGGGCUCAGAGUUACUGCAGGAAUCCAGGUGAGGAAACUGAGGCUCGUUACUGACUUGCCCAAGAUUCCACAGUGGAAGAGCCUGGACGUGAACUGCGUCUCCAGGUCUCGAACCAUUUCCUGUCCUGGUCCCAGGACCUAGGUGGGGCCGCCGCGCGGUCAGACAGAGCCGGCCCGCCUGGGACCCCUUGGCUGCCCUCGCCCCCCGGCCCCGCCCCCCGCAC
RNAcentral lists this long non-coding RNA (708 nucleotides) under Homo sapiens (human). RNAcentral describes it as "HSALNT0342334". The record is from RNAcentral. Lineage: Eukaryota; Metazoa; Chordata; Mammalia; Primates; Hominidae.